Long non-coding RNA from Nannospalax galili (Upper Galilee mountains blind mole rat), 257 nucleotides. RefSeq lists it as uncharacterized. The record is from RefSeq and is a predicted model, not a curated record. Lineage: Eukaryota; Metazoa; Chordata; Mammalia; Rodentia; Spalacidae. The transcript is spliced from 3 exons.
CAUGACCAUGGCUGUCUGGAAGCCAAGGACUGGAGUGACCUUCAGGAGUCCCUCAGGAGACUCAGGCCUUUUAACAUUCCGUGGAGGGAGAGAAGCUCACCCUGGCCUCUAUAUCAAGAACCUCUGAUAAUGGAUAAAGGAAGAAGUGGUCCCAGCUGGGAAGUUGCUGUCAUAAUGCAGAUGAGAGGGUGAAGCAUCAUGAAAGUGAUAAUGAAAGCUAAGAAGAACCAGGACCAGACAUCCCUCACCAGGACUCC